AUCUCCCCUUUUUCUUCAACCCCUUCAACACUAUCAAGCACUUCCAUGAAGCCAUGGAACUUACUAUGUUAAAACUAGUAACAAGAAGUAGCCCUUCUCUUCAAUGUAAAUGUAACUCAGCAAGGACCCACCACUGACAAUUAAUAGUUCAAAGUAACACCCUCUCUAGAAAACCUUACUUUUCUCUCUAUUAACCUAACACAAGUACAUUCCAAGAAAGAUUAAAAGAAAAAGAAGGAACUCGGCAAACAUCAGCCCCGCCUGUUUACCAAAAACAUCGCCUCUUGACCCCCCCAUAAGAGGUCCAGCCUGCCCAGUGACUUCUGUUCAACGGCCGCGGUAUCCUAACCGUGCGAAGGUAGCGCAAUCAUUUGUUUCUUAAAUAGGGACUAGUAUGAAAGGCAUCACGAGGGCCUAACUGUCUCCUUUUUCCAAUCAGUGAAACUAAUCUCCCCGUGAAGAAGCGGGGAUAUUUUUAUAAGACGAGAAGACCCUAUGGAGCUUUAAACUCUACGACACCUGCCUUCUACUACUUUCUUUUCAGAAAACUCCCCCUCCUUUGGUACCCUGUCUACGAGCUUUCGGUUGGGGCGACCCCGGAGAAUAACUUAUCCUCCGUAAUGAACAGAUUUAUCUUUAGCAAAAAUCUACAACUUUAAGCAUCAGUAAAACUGACAUACAUUGACCCAAAAAUUUGAGCAACGAACCAAGUUACCCUAGGGAUAACAGCGCUAUCCACUUUGAAAGUUCCUAUCGACAAGUGGGCUUACGACCUCGAUGUUGGAUCAGGGUAUCCUAGUGGUGCAACCGCUACUAAAGGUUUGUUUGUUCAACAAUUAAAACCCU
Molecule: ribosomal RNA, 846 nt
Filed under: Oreobates discoidalis (Tucuman robber frog)
Lineage: Eukaryota; Metazoa; Chordata; Amphibia; Anura; Strabomantidae
Description: partial 16S ribosomal RNA
Rfam family: Bacterial large subunit ribosomal RNA
Source: RNAcentral